Molecule: small RNA, 365 nt
Filed under: Arabidopsis thaliana (thale cress)
Lineage: Eukaryota; Viridiplantae; Streptophyta; Magnoliopsida; Brassicales; Brassicaceae
Description: ATSL066590
Source: RNAcentral
AUAUAGUCAAGAAUCUGAGAUAUUUUAAAACGUUAACGGCGUUUUGGUUCUCCGUUAUCUUUCUUAGAAGCCGUUAAAGUGGAACUGUUAGGUUUAGGUUUAAUAGUUAUCGUUUCAUUUUCAUCUAGUCUUGCCGCUUUCUUCGCAAUUUUGAAGGUACAUGGACGAAGACGGAGAGAAACAUGUUCUUACCAAACGAUCAUCUUCUCCUGAGUUAUCCGACAAAAGAUCUGGUGAUGAAGGUGAUUGGGUACGAAGAGAUUUGCGAGAAUCGUUGUUCUUUCAAGUUCUCCUGAAUCUCUCGACAAAAGAAAUGGUUAAGACUAGCGUCGUAUCCCCGAAUGGAGACAUCUAUGGAAGUAUGU